RNAcentral lists this ribosomal RNA (1369 nucleotides) under uncultured bacterium. RNAcentral describes it as "bacterial SSU rRNA". It matches the Rfam family "Bacterial small subunit ribosomal RNA". The record is from RNAcentral.
AGAGUUUGAUCCUGGCUCAGGACGAACGCUGGCGGCGUGCCUAACACAUGCAAGUCGAGCGGGGAGGAGGAAGCUUGCUUCCGAAUCCUAGCGGCGGACGGGUGAGUAACGCGUGAGCAACCUGCCUCAAACAGGGGGAUAACGCAUCGAAAGAUGUGCUAAUACCGCGUAAGACCACGGUGUCGCAUGACACAGAGGUCAAAGGAGGAAUCCGGUUUGAGAUGGGCUCGCGUCCGAUUAGCUAGUUGGUGAGAUAACAGCCCACCAAGGCGACGAUCGGUAGCCGACCUGAGAGGGUGAUCGGCCACAUUGGAACUGAGAGACGGUCCAGACUCCUACGGGAGGCAGCAGUGGGGAAUAUUGGGCAAUGGGCGAAAGCCUGACCCAGCAACGCCGCGUGAGGGAAGAAGGGUUUCGGCUCGUAAACCUCUGUCCUAUGGGACGAAGAGAGUGACGGUACCAUAGGAGGAAGCCCCGGCUAACUACGUGCCAGCAGCCGCGGUAAUACGUAGGUUGCAAGCGUUGUCCGGAUUUACUGGGUGUAAAGGGCGUGUAGGCGGAGAUGCAAGUCAGGAGUGAAAUCCCGGGGCUCAACCCCGGAACUGCUUUUGAAACUGUAUCCCUUGAGUGUCGGAGAGGCAAGCGGAAUUCCUAGUGUAGCGGUGAAAUGCGUAGAUAUUAGGAGGAACACCAGUGGCGAAGGCGGCUUGCUGGACGAUAACUGACGCUGAGGCGCGAAAGCGUGGGGAGCAAACAGGAUUAGAUACCCUGGUAGUCCACGCUGUAAACGAUGAAUACUAGGUGUGGGAGGACUGACCCCUUCCGUGCCGCAGUUAACACAAUAAGUAUUCCACCUGGGGAGUACGGCCGCAAGGCUGAAACUCAAAGGAAUUGACGGGGGCCCGCACAAGCAGUGGAUUAUGUGGUUUAAUUCGACGCAACGCGAAGAACCUUACCAGGACUUGACAUCCAACUAACGAAGUAGAGAUACAUUAGGUGCCCUUCGGGGAAAGUUGAGACAGGUGGUGCAUGGUUGUCGUCAGCUCGUGUCGUGAGAUGUUGGGUUAAGUCCCGCAACGAGCGCAACCCCUAUUGUUAGUUGCUACGCAAGAGCACUCUAGCGAGACUGCCGUUGACAAAACGGAGGAAGGCGGGGACGACGUCAAAUCAUCAUGCCCCUUAUGUCCUGGGCUACACACGUAAUACAAUGGCCGUCAACAAAGGGAAGCAAAGCCGCGAGGUGGAGCAAAUCCCCAAAAACGGUCUCAGUUCGGAUUGCAGGCUGCAACUCGCCUGCAUGAAGCUGGAAUUGCUAGUAAUCGUGGAUCAGCAUGCCACGGUGAAUACGUUCCCGGGCCUUGCACUCACC